GACAGAGGAUGCAAGUGUUAUCCGGAAUUAUUGGGCGUAAAGAGUUUGUAGGUGGAUUUUUAAGUCUUAUGUUAAAUAUCUAAACUCAAUUUAGAAAAUGCAUAAGAAACUAUAAAUCUAGAGUAUUAUAGAGGUAAAGGGAAUUCUCAGUGUAGCGGUGAAAUGCGUAGAUAUUGAGAAGAACACCAAAGGCGAAAGCACUUUACUAUAUUAAGACUGACACUGAGAAACGAAAGCUAGGGGAGCAAACAGG
This 253-nucleotide ribosomal RNA is filed under the name uncultured bacterium. Its description in RNAcentral is "partial 16S ribosomal RNA". It matches the Rfam family "Bacterial small subunit ribosomal RNA", at positions 524 to 776 of the family's 1533-position model. The record is from RNAcentral.